GAUGAACGCUGGCGGCGUGCCUAAUACAUGCAAGUCGAGCGAACAGAUGAGGAGCUUGCUCCUCUGACGUUAGCGGCGGACGGGUGAGUAACACGUGGAUAACCUACCUAUAAGACUGGGAUAACUUCGGGAAACCGGAGCUAAUACCGGAUAAUAUAUUGAACCGCAUGGUUCAAUAGUGAAAGACGGUUUUGCUGUCACUUAUAGAUGGAUCCGCGCCGCAUUAGCUAGUUGGUAAGGUAACGGCUUACCAAGGCAACGAUGCGUAGCCGACCUGAGAGGGUGAUCGGCCACACUGGAACUGAGACACGGUCCAGACUCCUAGGGGAGGCAGCAGUAGGGAAUCUUCCGCAAUGGGCGAAAGCCUGACGGAGCAACGCCGCGUGAGUGAUGAAGGUCUUCGGACCGUAAAACUCUGUUAUUAGGGAAGAACAAAUGUGUAAGUAACUAUGCACGUCUUGACGGUACCUAAUCAGAAAGCCACGGCUAACUACGUG
This 497-nucleotide ribosomal RNA is filed under the name uncultured bacterium. Its description in RNAcentral is "partial 16S ribosomal RNA". It matches the Rfam family "Bacterial small subunit ribosomal RNA", at positions 28 to 507 of the family's 1533-position model. The record is from RNAcentral.